UACGUAGGGGGCAAGCGUUAUCCGGAUUUACUGGGUGUAAAGGGAGCGCAGGCGGUAUGGCAAGUCAGAUGUGAAAACCCAGGGCCCAACCCUGGGACUGCAUUUGAAACUGUUAAGCUGGAGUGCGGGAGGGGCAGGCGGAAUUCCUGGUGUAGCGGUGAAAUGCGUAGAUAUCAGGAGGAACACCGGCGGCGAAGGCGGCCUGCUGGACCGUGACUGACGUUGAGGCUCGAAAGCGUGGGGAGCAAACAGG
Molecule: ribosomal RNA, 253 nt
Filed under: uncultured Eubacteriales bacterium
Lineage: Bacteria; Bacillati; Bacillota; Clostridia; Eubacteriales
Description: uncultured Clostridiales bacterium partial 16S ribosomal RNA
Rfam family: Bacterial small subunit ribosomal RNA
Source: RNAcentral